AUACGGAGGAUACGAGCGUUAUCCGGAUUUAUUGGGUUUAAAGGGUGCGCAGGCGGACCGUUAAGUCAGGGGUGAAAAGUUCGGGCUCAACCUGAAUCGUGCCUUUGAUACUGGCGGACUAGAGUGCGAUAGGCGUGGCCGGAAUGUGGUGUGUAGCGGUGAAAUGCUUAGAUAUGCCACAGAACACCGAUCGAGAAGUCAGGUCACGAGUUCGCAACUGACGCUCAUGCACGAAAGCGUGGGGAUCAAACAGGAUUAGAUACCCUGGUAGUCCACGCCGUAAACGAUGAUCACUCGUUGCCGGGCAGUGAUGUUCGGUGGCCAAGCGAAAGCGAUAAGUGAUCCACCUGGGGAGUACGAUCGCAAGGUUGAAACUCAAAUGAAUUGACGGGG
This 393-nucleotide ribosomal RNA is filed under the name uncultured bacterium. Its description in RNAcentral is "partial 16S ribosomal RNA". It matches the Rfam family "Bacterial small subunit ribosomal RNA", at positions 523 to 918 of the family's 1533-position model. The record is from RNAcentral.